Molecule: ribosomal RNA, 253 nt
Filed under: uncultured bacterium
Lineage: Bacteria
Description: partial 16S ribosomal RNA
Rfam family: Bacterial small subunit ribosomal RNA
Source: RNAcentral
UACGUAGGGGGCAAGCGUUAUCCGGAUUUACUGGGUGUAAAGGGAGCGUAGACGGUAUGGUAAGUCUGAUGUGAAAGCCCGAGGCUCAACCUCGGGACUGCAUUGGAAACUGCCGUACUAGAGUGCAGGAGAGGUAAGUUGAAUUCCUAGUGUAGCGGUGAAAUGCGUAGAUAUUAGGAGGAACACCAGUGGCGAAGGCGACUUACUGGACUGUAACUGACGUUGAGGCUCGAAAGCGUGGGGAGCAAACAGG